UACGUAGGGGGCAAGCGUUGUCCGGAUUUAUUGGGCGUAAAGAGCGUGUAGGCGGCUAGAUAGGUCCGUUGUGAAAACUCGAGGCUCAACCUCGAGACGCCGAUGGAAACCAUCCAGCUAGAGUCCGGAAGAGGAGAGUGGAAUUCCCGGUGUAGCGGUGAAAUGCGCAGAUAUCGGGAAGAACACCCGUGGCUAAGGCGGCUCUCUAGUACGGUACUGACGCUGAGACGCGAAAGCGUGGGGAGCGAACAGG
RNAcentral lists this ribosomal RNA (253 nucleotides) under uncultured bacterium. Its description in RNAcentral is "partial 16S ribosomal RNA". It matches the Rfam family "Bacterial small subunit ribosomal RNA", at positions 524 to 776 of the family's 1533-position model. The record is from RNAcentral.